This 172-nucleotide microRNA precursor is filed under the name Oryza sativa Japonica Group (Japanese rice). Its description in RNAcentral is "MIR812 microRNA precursor family". It matches the Rfam family "MIR812 microRNA precursor family". Lineage: Eukaryota; Viridiplantae; Streptophyta; Magnoliopsida; Poales; Poaceae. The record is from Rfam by way of RNAcentral.
AAAAAGGCAAACCCUAAAUUUUCAUACCAAUGUUUAACUGUUCGUCUUAUAUGAAUUUUUUUUAUAAUUAGUAUUUCAUUACGCGUGACUUAUCUUUUUAAUUUUUUUUCAUAUUUUUUUAAAUAAGACGGAUGAUCAAAUGUUGGACACGGAAACCAGAGUUUGUCUUCUU